GAUGAACGCUGGCGGCGUGCUUAACACAUGCAAGUCGAACGAUGAAGCCCAGCUUGCUGGGUGGAUUAGUGGCGAACGGGUGAGUAACACGUGAGUAACCUGCCCUUAACUCUGGGAUAAGCCUGGGAAACUGGGUCUAAUACCGGAUAGGAGCGUCCACCGCAUGGUGGGUGUUGGAAAGAUUUAUCGGUUUUGGAUGGACUCGCGGCCUAUCAGCUUGUUGGUGAGGUAAUGGCUCACCAAGGCGACGACGGGUAGCCGGCCUGAGAGGGUGACCGGCCACACUGGGACUAAGACACGGCCCAGACUCCUGCGGGAGGCAGCAGUGGGGAAUAUUGCACGAUGGGCUCAAGCCUGAUGCAGCGACGCCGCGUGAGGUAUGACGGCCUUCGGGUUGUAAACCUCUUUCAGUAGGGAAGAAGCGAAAGUGACGGUACCUGCAGAAGAAGCACCGGCUAACUACGUG
Molecule: ribosomal RNA, 466 nt
Filed under: uncultured bacterium
Lineage: Bacteria
Description: partial 16S ribosomal RNA
Rfam family: Bacterial small subunit ribosomal RNA
Source: RNAcentral